UACGCCUCAAUUAACUCGGGAAUGAUCCAGCUUAACUUUGUGUUUUCUGAAAUAGGACGAUUUUCACCUAGAGCGAUUUUGCCUUCUAAUAAAAGGUCCCAAAAGAGAGUAACCCGAAUAAUCAUGUCGAUAUUAUUAGACAAAAUAAAUUCGGGAUCAGCUAGAUUAAGGUUAUCUGGAAUACUGAUUACAGAAAUAUCCACUGUUGUGGUUGAUAUUGGAACGACAUAACAAAAAUUGUACAGCGUAGGUAAUUCAGAUGAAGCAUACGGUUCUUUCCAUUUAUUUUGAGAUAUUUUAUCAAGUUUCUUGUAAAUUAAAUGAAUAAUAGUCAUAUCCCAAAGGGCUUUUUUGUAAAGCUACAUUCCUUCAAGUGCUGUGCUUUUCAUUUUCUC
This is a long non-coding RNA of Diorhabda sublineata, 395 nucleotides long. RefSeq lists it as uncharacterized. The transcript is spliced from 3 exons. The record is from RefSeq and is a predicted model, not a curated record. NCBI's taxonomy places the organism in Eukaryota, Metazoa, Arthropoda, Insecta, Coleoptera, Chrysomelidae.